RNAcentral lists this ribosomal RNA (465 nucleotides) under Vreelandella stevensii. RNAcentral describes it as "partial 16S ribosomal RNA". It matches the Rfam family "Bacterial small subunit ribosomal RNA", at positions 338 to 795 of the family's 1533-position model. The record is from RNAcentral. Lineage: Bacteria; Pseudomonadati; Pseudomonadota; Gammaproteobacteria; Oceanospirillales; Halomonadaceae.
CCUACGGGGGGCAGCAGUGGGGAAUAUUGGACAAUGGGCGAAAGCCUGAUCCAGCCAUGCCGCGUGUGUGAAGAAGGCCUUCGGGUUGUAAAGCACUUUCAGUGGGGAAGAAAGCCUUGGGGCUAAUACCCUCGAGGAAGGACAUCACCCACAGAAGAAGCACCGGCUAACUCCGUGCCAGCAGCCGCGGUAAUACGGAGGGUGCGAGCGUUAAUCGGAAUUACUGGGCGUAAAGCGCGCGUAGGCGGUCUGAUAAGCCGGUUGUGAAAGCCCCGGGCUCAACCUGGGAACGGCAUCCGGAACUGUCAGGCUAGAGUGCAGGGGAGGAAGGUAGAAUUCCCGGUGUAGCGGUGAAAUGCGUAGAGAUCGGGAGGAAUACCAGUGGCGAAGGCGGCCUUCUGGACUGACACUGACGCUGAGGUGCGAAAGCGUGGGUAGCAAACAGGAUUAGAUACCCCUGUAGUC